RNAcentral lists this ribosomal RNA (411 nucleotides) under uncultured microorganism. RNAcentral's name for it is "bacterial SSU rRNA". It matches the Rfam family "Bacterial small subunit ribosomal RNA", at positions 9 to 416 of the family's 1533-position model. The record is from RNAcentral.
GAGUUUGAUCUUGGCUCAGAUUGAACGCUGGCGGCAUGCCUUACACAUGCAAGUCGAACGGCAGCAUGAUCUAGCUUGCUAGAUUGAUGGCGAGUGGCGAACGGGUGAGUAAUACAUCGGAACGUGCCCUGUAGUGGGGGAUAACUAGUCGAAAGAUUAGCUAAUACCGCAUACGACCUGAGGGUGAAAGUGGGGGACCGCAAGGCCUCAUGCUAUAGGAGCGGCCGAUGUCUGAUUAGCUAGUUGGUGGGGUAAAGGCCCACCAAGGCGACGAUCAGUAGCUGGUCUGAGAGGACGAUCAGCCACACUGGGACUGAGACACGGCCCAGACUCCUACGGGAGGCAGCAGUGGGGAAUUUUGGACAAUGGGCGAAAGCCUGAUCCAGCAAUGCCGCGUGUGUGAAGAAGGCC